This 424-nucleotide ribosomal RNA is filed under the name Verrucomicrobiota bacterium. RNAcentral's name for it is "Verrucomicrobia bacterium partial 16S ribosomal RNA". It matches the Rfam family "Bacterial small subunit ribosomal RNA", at positions 355 to 776 of the family's 1533-position model. Lineage: Bacteria; Pseudomonadati; Verrucomicrobiota. The record is from RNAcentral.
UGAGGAAUAUUGGUCAAUGGACGAGAGUCUGAACCAGCCAAGUAGCGUGCAGGUUGACGGCCCUAUGGGUUGUAAACUGCUUUUGUUUGGGAAUAAUCGACAUUACGUGUAAUGUUUUGCAUGUACCAUUCGAAUAAGGACCGGCUAAUUCCGUGCCAGCAGCCGCGGUAAUACGGAAGGUCCAGGCGUUAUCCGGAUUUAUUGGGUUUAAAGGGAGUGUAGGCGGUUGGUUAAGCGUGUUGUGAAAUGUAGAUGCUCAACAUCUGACUUGCAGCGCGAACUGGCUGACUUGAGUACACACAACGUAGGCGGAAUUCAUGGUGUAGCGGUGAAAUGCUUAGAUAUCAUGAAGAACUCCGAUUGCGAAGGCAGCUUACGGGAGUGUUACUGACGCUUAAGCUCGAAGGUGCGGGUAUCGAACAGG